Molecule: long non-coding RNA, 611 nt
Organism: Leopardus geoffroyi (Geoffroy's cat)
Lineage: Eukaryota; Metazoa; Chordata; Mammalia; Carnivora; Felidae
Exons: 2
Source: RefSeq, a predicted model, not a curated record
AGGUGGUGAACCUUGCACUGCCUGCCAGGGGAACAUGGAAGAAGCCAUCCAGGGAGCUCACGUCCCAGAGCCAUGCAGGCAGAGGAGACUGGACCAUAUUGUCAGAUGGUACCCGGAAGAAUGGAAAGCAGCGUCUCAAAGAGACAUCUCUACACCACGCUCAGAGCACCGUGAUUCACAGUGGCUGAAAGGCAGAAACGAGUCAAGUGUCCAACGAUGGAUGCACGGGGAGAACAAAACGUGACCGAGCCAUACGAUAGAGUAUCACGCAGCCCUAAAAAAGAAGGAAGUUCCAACACACGCUGCGACGUGGAUGAACGUUGAGGACAUUAUGCGAAGUGAAAUGAACCCGUCACAAAAGGACACACACUGCAUGACUUCACUCGCAUGAGGUCCCUAGAGUCAUCAAACUCAGAGACGGAAAGCAGAAUGGUGGCUGCAGGCGCCGCGGUGGCGGGGGGCGGCGGGGGAGAAGCCUGGGGAGAUCGUGUUUAAUGUGGACAGGGUUUCAGUUUGGGGAGAUGGAAAAGUUCCGGAGGUGGAUGGUGGGGACGGUUACUUAUGCCUCUCCACCUCACACCAAUGGUUAAAAUGGCAAAUAUUAUGUUAUG